Molecule: long non-coding RNA, 673 nt
Filed under: Equus caballus (horse)
Lineage: Eukaryota; Metazoa; Chordata; Mammalia; Perissodactyla; Equidae
Description: lncRNA (ENSECAG00000043919.1)
Source: RNAcentral
UAACAGGUGUGAGUGGAGAAAAGUGAAGAGUAGAACAAUAGGAGUAGAACUUCCUUUUCAAGUACACUUCUGUCUAAUAAAACGUUACCACCUUCUAGAACAGAACUUGGUCGUAUCCUUAAACCCAAACCACAAUAAAAACAAAAAGUGAACAAGAGGAGGAGGUACCCUGAAGCAAUCAAAACUUACAAACAGUGAAACAACACCAAGGACGGAACAACCUUCAGAACGUCUGACCGCUUUUACAGGGAUAAAGAUAAGUGGACUAGACAUCCAGAGAAACCCUCCUGAUGCAGAACAACUCAGUCACAAGCAAAAUAUUUUAAAACAUCUUUAUAAAUGCAUGACCAGAUUGGCAAAAUGGGUUUGCUGGCAGCCAUCAUGCAUGCUGCCGAGAAACCUCCAGAUGAAGCCAACGCAAAAGCAGACAAGCCCCAAGCCAGAGAAAGUCCUGAUCUGGUGACACCAUUUGAGCACCUGAGAAAAGCAGUGCGUGCGGCUACACACCCUUAGACUUUCCCAUUACUGAACCACUGAAUUCCUUUUUUUAAAAAGAUGAAUUUGAGUUGAAUUUUCUGUCACUAGCAAAUUAAAAUAUCUUAACUGAUAACAUGAGGAUAGAUACUCCAUAUUCAAUCUUUUAUUCUACUUUUUUCACUAAACACAAUGGAAG